UUUUGACAAAGUUACAGCCCAACCUUUGCCCCUGAGGAAGUAUUAACAAUACGAAACGCGUUGGGCUGUAACUUUGUCAAAAUAAAGACUUCUUAAUAUAUUUAAAUUAUUUGGCAUCGUACAUUUUGUCCCUAUAUUCCAUACAAUCGAUAGUGUAUGCAGAACCUGUUAAAGAAAUUACGUCUUACAAGAAGCCACGCUGAAGCGCUUACCUAUUGCGCUAGAGGAGGCGGCCAUUGACUGGAGAAUCCCACCGGUGGCGCUGUUUCUGUUGUUCAGCGAUUCCGAAUUGGAUGCAGUGCAGCCAGUCCAGAGGAUUACCACCGGCCUUACCGAUCCGAGUGUCCAGAGGGUCCGCUCCUAAUUCAGUGCAGCCGUUUCAGUGAAGCCCAGUGGAGAGCCAAUCGGAGUUCCAUCCGGCACCUCGGCGCAACCUUUCUGAUUCAGCGCUGUUAGUCCUACGGAGGGUUAACCGGUGUUUCCCCAGCGCUUCUGAAUAUAUACCUACACACAGGCAGAUCCCGGACGAUCGGAUCAUCACUACUCAUUUACUCCUAUCUUACAAGUUUAAGGGGUAAGCGUGGACUGUACAUUGCAGUCCCACACAUUCUUACUUACCUUAUUGCACUAUCCGAGGUUUUUUCCCUGUAGGUACUAUUCGAAAAGGAGACUUGCCUCGUUUUUGCUGUAUGAGAACACCUGAUUGGCAUAACUAUCACAAGAAUAUUGACUCUGGGUGUCAGUGACAGCUGCACGGAUCAAGUUCUGUCCCCUGAAGCUGCUGUUUGGUUUAGCCCGGGGGGCUGCACAGUACAGUCCCAUGAAAUUCAUAGGAGCUUCAGCCACAGGAGUCAGACUAGUAAAUGUUGUGGGGACGGGAUAAUAAAUGACAAAUGAAGGUGUAAUGGUCAUAAGUAAUGAGAUACCAGGAAAUAAGAUGAAUUAAAGUCUCCAUUUCCUGUAUGCAGAGGAGGCGUGUACUUGCCACAGCCGCAGUGAGGACAUUUACUGUAAAUUUUAAUAAACACAACCACAGCGUUUUUGCUAUUGA
Xenopus laevis (African clawed frog) is the source of this 1051-nucleotide long non-coding RNA. RefSeq lists it as uncharacterized. The record is from RefSeq and is a predicted model, not a curated record. Lineage: Eukaryota; Metazoa; Chordata; Amphibia; Anura; Pipidae. The transcript has 2 exons.